GAGGGUAUAGCUCAGUGGUAGAGCGCAUGCUUAGCAUGCACAGGGUCCUGGGUUUAAUCCCUAGUACCUUCA
RNAcentral lists this transfer RNA (72 nucleotides) under Camelus bactrianus (Bactrian camel). It matches the Rfam family "tRNA". Rfam says of the family: Transfer RNA (tRNA) molecules are approximately 80 nucleotides in length. Their secondary structure includes four short double-helical elements and three loops (D, anti-codon, and T loops). Lineage: Eukaryota; Metazoa; Chordata; Mammalia; Artiodactyla; Camelidae. RNAcentral also lists the same sequence under 2 other names. The record is from Rfam by way of RNAcentral.